Long non-coding RNA from Symphalangus syndactylus (siamang), 684 nucleotides. RefSeq lists it as uncharacterized. The record is from RefSeq and is a predicted model, not a curated record. NCBI's taxonomy places the organism in Eukaryota, Metazoa, Chordata, Mammalia, Primates, Hylobatidae.
GGGACUACGGGCGCCCGCCACCACGCCCGGCUAUUUUUGUUGUAUUUUUAGUAGAGACGGGGUUUCACCGUGUUAGCCUAGCUCUUCUCAAACUUCUGACCUCGUGACCCCCCCGCCUCAGCCUCCCGAAGUGCUGGGAUUACAAGCGUGAGCCACCGCCCCCGGCCAACACUCUUGACAACAGUGCUGUGCUAAGAACUUGGGGGACUUCAAAAAGUUCACCAGUUCCUGCGUCCAUGCAUUUUAAAAAGGUUGUACAUCUAGCAAUACCUAACAAAAUAGGAAAUCAACUUGGGCUACCUUAAUGAGCAGCCAGGAUGCCAUCAUCUCUGACCUGAAUGACAAUAACCUCCAAACCAGCCUUUGCAUACUCCUUCCUGCUGCUCUGCAGUCCACUUCCAUAGACCAGCCAACUGAAUCUCCUUAUAGGUGCUGGAAAAGGUCAAACAGAGAAAAUCAUCGUCAUAAAGCGAAGUGAUUUUCUUCUUUAUGAGCUCCUGAUGUAAACAGACUGAUGAGCACAACACAAUCCUUACUCACCCACAUGACAUCAUACACAAUCACAGCUAAAUGUUUCUAUCUGUCAAAGCCUGAAGAGUGACUACCAGAUUGUUGCCUGAUUGGUAUGUAACCCCAAAUGGUAUUUCCUUGGUAUCUAGUUGGUAGGGUGUAUUUUAUAAGAUU